GAUGAACGCUGGCGGCGUGCCUAAUACAUGCAAGUCGAGCGAACAGACGAGGAGCUUGCUCCUCUGACGUUAGCGGCGGACGGGUGAGUAACACGUGGAUAACCUACCUAUAAGACUGGGAUAACUUCGGGAAACCGGAGCUACUACCGGAUAAUAUAUUGAACAGCAUGGUUAAAUAGUGAAAGACGGUUUUGCUGUCACUUAUAGAUAGAUCCGAGCCGCAUUAGCUAGUUGGUAAGGUAACGGCUUACCAAGGCGACGAUGCGUAGCCGACCUGAGAGGGUGAUCGGCCACACUGGAACUGAGACACGGUCCAGACUCCUACGGGAGGCAGCAGUAGGGAAUCUUCCGCAAUGGGCGAAAGCCUGACGGAGCAACGCCGCGUGAGUGAUGAAGGUCUUCGGAUCGUAAAACUCUGUUAUUAGGGAAGAACAAAUGUGUAAGUAACUAUGCACGUCUUGACGGUACCUAAUCAGAAAGCCACGGCUAACUACGUG
Molecule: ribosomal RNA, 497 nt
Filed under: uncultured bacterium
Lineage: Bacteria
Description: partial 16S ribosomal RNA
Rfam family: Bacterial small subunit ribosomal RNA
Source: RNAcentral